Molecule: long non-coding RNA, 1889 nt
Organism: Engraulis encrasicolus (European anchovy)
Lineage: Eukaryota; Metazoa; Chordata; Actinopteri; Clupeiformes; Engraulidae
Exons: 5
Source: RefSeq, a predicted model, not a curated record
CAACGCUACUGAAAUUUGAACUGUAUCGCAUUGCGUUCCUGCGCUCUCAAGGGAAUAGACGCUCUAUAUAUGUGGGCGUGUGAGAUACAUCCACUAGCCAUUUUGGCCGGUGAUGAAAAGCACUUUUACUGGGACUUCUCAUGAGCAUAUCGUUCUCUGAAAUGUUUAAAGGUGGGAUAGGAGAUGUUUUUCUGGCACAUGUUUUACCAUAUCAUCUAAAAAACUCCUCAUGACGCCAUAGCACCCAUUGAAAUAGAGUGUUUGGAAAAAAAACGUUAUCUUUUGGUCCAGUGUAGAGGGCGUAGUCAGAAGAAAACGGCAACCAAUAGAAGUAAUACUCAUCAUCACUUCUAUUUGUUUCUGACACGUCCAUCAACCGCCAGCACUCACCCCUCCUCCCUGCGCGUUCACCGACUCGUGAACUUGACCGACCCCGCCCCCAUCAUUCAUUCACACGACACGCGACAAGGCUCAUCAUCACUCGGCUAGUAGCAAGGUAACGAGAGUUAGCAGCAGGCUGAGCUACUUGGAAACUUUGGUGGCUUUUGCAGAGCUACAGGAAUACCUUUGGCUUUUGGAACACUGGACUAACCAUGUCAGGAUAACAUACUCCCUUGGAUUAUAGUCAUCGGACUCGCAAGACCAGACUCCAACACGGGCUGAAAUGGGGCCUGACACUCUUGGACACAGAUGUCGGCUACGGCAGCGGCUUCAAAUACGCUUUGAUGACCAUAUUUCUAAUCGAGAGUUGUGCGAACGAGCCAGACAAACCAGCUGGGAGGACGGAAGCACCCCUUCUCCAUCCGCGUUCAGUAACUGAAUACGGAUUCACCCCGUAGUCAACAGCAGACAGGGUCCUUCCACAACCACAUACUUAUGCCAGUAAAAGCUACAGCUUUUCUCCUCCGAUCCAAGAAGCCUGGACUGCAGUCACCAUCUCAACACACCAACCAAGAGAAAGGCGGAUGGCUCAAUUCAAUAUGGAAAAUUGCACGAUAAAAGUUCCAGGACAUGAAGGCUGCAUACUGUGAACGUCAACCUUCAGGGCACCGUCCUGCGCAGAAGACUUUCUACCCUAAGAGGGAUGGCUGACCGCAGACACUCACAACCAGCACAGACGCCUCCAACCUCAGACUAGGCCCUUCACAGUUGCUGCACUUACCCACCUUCCCAGAGUUUUUUGUGUGGUAAUGACAACUGUAAAUAUAGUAUAAAGUAAUGUAUCUAGUGUCAUGUGUAAUACAUUGUUUAAAAUGUCCAUACAUUUCAAUGACAGUAAAUAUUGGUGGACACAAUUUGACUGUGUGGCUUUUUUUUUAAUUCAUUCUCUGACUGAAAAUGCAAGGUUACAUAAUUUAUAUAUUCCACAAAACCACAAUCAGAAGAUUAUUUGACAGGUUGCAUUUAUUUUCUAUGUAUGAAAAAAAAACAAUGGUAACAAGACAAACGUGGUUCCAAACCAAAAAGGUGAGAUGUAUAAAUGUACAGAUGAAUGCUCCUACAGAUAAUGAAAAAUAAUAAAACUCUGCACACUGCCGAUUUGUGUGUUUUAUACCGUACUCUGUAUAAACCUUUUUAUAUUGCUCUAGUGGAGCAGGGUAACCCUGGCUUAUCCUGGGUAUUGUACUGUGUAUUACAACGUCAGCCCUGUUCAAGUGCCCCAUACUGUCUGUAGGCUGCAUGCCUGAAGAGACCGUUUGUCUCACCUGGUCCUACAUCAGCCCAAAGUCUUCCAUCAAAACUGAGAAGACCACAGCAUUUCCUUUCAAUGUUCAUGGCCAUCUCCUUACAGAUUGCGCAGAGGCGCCAGGUUGGUUGUGCUACUGGGCUGUGACUGAGGACCAGAUGUCAUGUGCCAGGUCGAACAUCAAACUGGGGUCACAGGUCAG